AUGUCUGCAAAAUCACUCAUCUCUUACUGUCCCGACCAUUUUAUUUCUUCUCCAUGCUUGUAAAAGCUGGGACCCUCCUCGCCAGCUCUGCAGCAGUUUGAAACCUGAGAUGCUGCGCUGGAACACUUCCACAACUUCAGAUCAUUUAACACUCUAAUGAGAUGCCUUAAAAAUACAAACGAGCCACCUGAUACGGCAGGAUGCAAACCUGUCUCCAUGGCAGUGAUUUUCCUGAAGAUGCUUUUCAUCUCUGGCUGCUGGAAGCUUCGACGUAAAAAUUUAUCGUGCGCCCUCCUCUAAUAAAAUGUGAUGGUUUUACUGUA
Molecule: non-coding RNA, 323 nt
Organism: Lonchura striata (white-rumped munia)
Lineage: Eukaryota; Metazoa; Chordata; Aves; Passeriformes; Estrildidae
Source: RefSeq, a predicted model, not a curated record